Desarmillaria ectypa is the source of this 84-nucleotide non-coding RNA. The record is from the annotation of a GenBank genome assembly. NCBI's taxonomy places the organism in Eukaryota, Fungi, Basidiomycota, Agaricomycetes, Agaricales, Physalacriaceae.
GGGCACAUGGUGUAGUUGGUUUAUCACGCCCGCUUAGCAUUGUAUUGUUGCGGGAGGUGUUGGGUUCAAUUCCCAAUGUGUCCA